GGCCUUAUAUUCAAUUAUGAUUUUAGACUGCAAUUCUAGGGGUGUAAAUGACCUUUACUAAGGCCU
This 66-nucleotide transfer RNA is filed under the name Traulia szetschuanensis. RNAcentral describes it as "tRNA-Cys". The record is from RNAcentral. Lineage: Eukaryota; Metazoa; Arthropoda; Insecta; Orthoptera; Acrididae. RNAcentral also lists the same sequence under 3 other names.